RNAcentral lists this ribosomal RNA (301 nucleotides) under uncultured bacterium. RNAcentral's name for it is "partial 16S ribosomal RNA". It matches the Rfam family "Bacterial small subunit ribosomal RNA", at positions 509 to 809 of the family's 1533-position model. The record is from RNAcentral.
CAGCCGCCACGGGAAUACGUAGGUGGCAAGCGUUGUCCGGAAUUAUUGGGCGUAAAGCGCGCGCGGGCGGAUAGGUCAGUCUGUCUUAGGAGUUCGGGGCUUAACCCCGUGAUGGGAUGGAAACUGCCAACCUAGAGUAUCGGAGAGGAAAGUGGAAUUCCUAGUGUAGCGGUGAAAUGCGUAGAUAUUAGGAAGAACACCAGUGGCGAAGGCGACUUUCUGGACGAAAACUGACGCUGAGGCGCGAAAGCCAGGGGAGCGAACGGGAUUAGAUACCCCAGUAGUCCCUGUCUCUUAUACA